RNAcentral lists this small RNA (165 nucleotides) under Chelonoidis abingdonii (Abingdon island giant tortoise). RNAcentral describes it as "TUC338 (ENSCABG00000010494.1)". The record is from RNAcentral. Lineage: Eukaryota; Metazoa; Chordata; Testudines; Testudinidae.
UGGUUACCUUUGCGACUGAAGCUCUUUGUUUACUAUCCACAGAACAAGUACAACACAAGUAGUGCAGUGCAAUCUUUCCUACACUGCCUUGCUAGUCUAUCUCAGCUCCUACCUAUAUGGGUGGGAAAGUUAGUUCAGGCCCAUUCAUUUACUUGCCUGUCUGGU